AGCCUCCCUCAGCCUCCGGGUUUGCCUUGCUCUUGCUGAGAAAGCUGCUGAGGAGAAUGGCGGGGACGGAGCACCGGCAGCAGCAGCUCCUACUUCCUUUCUUCUCACAUGGCUCUGUCUGCUCCGAGAAGGAUUGAUUCAAUGAACAGGAAUUGACUAGCUGUGUCAUGGGGAGUCCACUAGAGAUGACCAGACAUAGUUUACAGCCAGUUGAAAGUCUUUAUUCUAGCUGCUGGGACUACACACAGUUAUUCAAGGACCUCAGUGUAGCCCUGAGUUUUGGGACGUUUUUGAAGAUCCCAUAUGAUGGUGCCAUCAACACUCGAGGUGGGCUCUUCCCCUCUGGUAAUCCCCCUGAAGAUGUUUCACCAUCUCCUAGGUGACUCUAAAUCCAAUCAACUUGACCAUGAAGAUUAACCACCACCACAGAGGAUUGAUUCCAGGUCCCUUCCUGGAUGCCCAACACAUGGACGAUCAACUCCUUUGUUGUAGACCUCAUCACUGGGACACAGUGCAAUGCGUGGCAGAGACAACAAAGGGAGGAAACAUUUAUGCCUCUCUUGGUUUCAGAGAUUCCAGUGCAUCAUGGCAGGUAGGGUGCAGCAGGCAGGAAGUAGAAUGGAGCAGUAACAGGAAGGGGCAAAAGAAAGGUACAGCCCCCUGUGAUCUACUUCCUCCCAGCUAGGCCCCACCUUUAGCCAUUCCAUCACCUUUAAAAUUUGAGCUACCAGCUGGGCACUGAGUAGUCAACAUAAGCCUGUAGAGGGCAUUUUAUAGUCAAAUCAUCCUUUUUAUAAAAUGGUAUAGUUGGUACAUAACCUACAUGCAUCCUCUCAGAUGCUUUGACCUCUAAAUUAUUUAUGAUAUUUAAUAUAAUUAAAUAGUAUGUAAAUGGCUGCUGUGUUGUAUUAUUUAGGGACUUGUGCAAGGAAAAAAGUCUGCUCUGUUCAAUACAGAUGCGUUUCUUUUCAAAUAUUUUCAGUCUGCAGCUGGUUGAAGUGUGUAUGGAAAUCUAUAGAAAUCAUGUGAAGUGCUAUGAAGCAUUAUAUAACAUAAAUGCAAUGAAAAUAUAUUAAAUACUAUUUCAUUAUAUAUUUGAUAUGAGCACUGCAUGCAAUUAGGGCAUCUUUGGAAAGCUGGCUUCAAGUUCUUAUCAUUUUCUACAGCCUUCCUUGUCCCACCAAAAAUCAAAGCUGCCUGCUACACAGCUUGAUUCACACUGGCCCUUCCAUUGCCUUCUUCACACCACAUACAUCAGGAAUCUGUUCUCAUACAGGAAGGAAUGGAAGUUCCUGCUGAUUGGACAAUCAGCCCCAGAGUAACCAAAUCCAUCAUGUUGAGCUCUCAGGUUCCUGUUUUCUGCUUAGUCCCUCUUCUUUGGGUGGGACUGUGCCUGUCUAUGGUGGCUAGUAGGCUAUGGAAUGUCAGAGUUGUUACUUGGCUCUUUCCUGCAACAGACUUUCUAUAACCCAUGAGGAACAUAUUCUGAGUUUCUCUGUAGUUCAGCUUACAAGUGGUUAAACAGCGAAGGAAAAAGUUCCAAAAGGCCCUGCCUGGUCCAUCUCUCCACUGCACAAUGGCAAAGCUCUU
Rattus norvegicus (Norway rat) is the source of this 1590-nucleotide non-coding RNA. NCBI's taxonomy places the organism in Eukaryota, Metazoa, Chordata, Mammalia, Rodentia, Muridae. The record is from RefSeq and is a predicted model, not a curated record.